GUAUUCCUACGGGGCGCAGCAGUGAGGCAUAUUGGUCAAUGGGCGGGAGCCUGAACCAGCCAAGUCGCGUGAGGGAAGACGGUCCUACGGAUUGUAAACCUCUUUUGCCGGGGAGCAACGGGGUCCUUGCGAGGGCCCGAUGAGAGUACCCGGAGAAAAAGCAUCGGCUAACUCCGUGCCAGCAGCCGCGGUAAUACGGAGGAUGCGAGCGUUAUCCGGAUUUAUUGGGUUUAAAGGGUGCUGAGGCGGGCUGUUAAGUCAGCGGUCAAAUGUCGGGGCUCAACCCCGGCCUGCUGUU
RNAcentral lists this ribosomal RNA (298 nucleotides) under uncultured bacterium. RNAcentral's name for it is "partial 16S ribosomal RNA". It matches the Rfam family "Bacterial small subunit ribosomal RNA", at positions 333 to 628 of the family's 1533-position model. The record is from RNAcentral.